UCCGUGCCAGCAGCCGCGGUAAUACGGAGGGUGCGAGCGUUAAUCGGAAUUACUGGGCGUAAAGCGCGCGUAGGCGGUUUGUUAAGUCGGAUGUGAAAGCCCCGGGCUCAACCUGGGAAUUGCACCCGAUACUGGCCGACUGGAGUGCGAGAGAGGGAGGUAGAAUUCCACGUGUAGCGGUGAAAUGCGUAGAUAUGUGGAGGAAUACCGGUGGCGAAGGCGGCCUCCUGGCUCGACACUGACGCUGAGGUGCGAAAGCGUGGGGAGCAAACAAGAUUAGAUACCCUGGUAGUCCACGCCGUAAACGAUGUCUACUAGCCGUUGGGGAACUUGAGUCCUUGGUGGCGCAGUUAACGCGAUAAGUAGACCGCCUGGGGAGUACGGCCGCAAGGUUAAAACUCAAAUGAAUUGACGGGGGCCCGCACAAGCGGUGGAGCAUGUGGUUUAAUUCGAUGCAACGCGAAGAACCUUACCAGGCCUUGACAUCCUUGGAAUUCUGCAGAGAUGCGGGAGUGCCUUCGGGAAUCAAGUGACAGGUGCUGCAUGGCUGUCGUCAGCUCGUGUCGUGAGAUGUUGGGUUAAGUCCCGUAACGAGCGCAACCCUUGUCCUUAGUUGCCAGCGAUUCGGUCGGGAACUCUAAGGAGACUGACGGUGACAAACCGUAGGAAGGUGGGGACGACGUCAAGUCAUCAUGGCCCUUACGGCCUGGGCUACACACGUGCUACAAUGGAACGCACAGAGGGCAGCGAACCCGCGAGGGGGAGCGAAUCCCACAAAACGUUUCGUAGUCCGGAUCGGAGUCUGCAACUCGACUCCGGAAGUCGGAAUCGCU
RNAcentral lists this ribosomal RNA (833 nucleotides) under uncultured organism. Its description in RNAcentral is "bacterial SSU rRNA". It matches the Rfam family "Bacterial small subunit ribosomal RNA", at positions 502 to 1336 of the family's 1533-position model. The record is from RNAcentral.